UCGUUGGGAUCUUUUCUGCCU
Molecule: microRNA, 21 nt
Filed under: Picea abies (Norway spruce)
Lineage: Eukaryota; Viridiplantae; Streptophyta; Pinopsida; Pinales; Pinaceae
Description: pab-miR11520
Source: miRBase by way of RNAcentral